UCAAAUCAGGUAGGGGUUACCCGCUGAACUUGGGCAUAUCAAUAAAGCGGAGGAAAAGAAACACAACUGGGAUUGCCUUAGUAACGGCGAGUGAAGCGGCAAAAGCUCAAAUUUGAAAUCUGGUACCUUUGGUGCCCGAGUUGUAAUUUGGAGAGUACCACUUUGGGACUGUACUUUGCCUAUGUUCUUGGAACAGGACGUCAUGGAGGGUGAGAAUCCCGUGUGGCGAGGGUGUCAGUUCUUUGUAAAGGGUGCUCGAAGAGUCGAGUUGUUUGGGAAUGCAGCUCUAAGUGGGUGGUAAAUUCCAUCUAAAGCUAAAUACAGGCGAGAGACCGAUAGCGAACAAGUACAGUGAUGGAAAGAUGAAAAGAACUUUGAAAAGAGAGUGAAAAAGUACGUGAAAUUGUUGAAAGGGAAGGGCAUUUGAUCAGACAUGGUGUUUUGCGCCCCUUGCCUCUCGUGGGCUUGGGACUCUCGCAGCUCACUGGGCCAGCAUCGGUUUUGGCGGCCGGAAAAAACCUAGGGAAUGUGGCUCUGCGCCUCGGUGUAGAGUGUUAUAGCCCUGGGGAAUACGGCCAGCCGGGACCGAGGACUGCGAUACUUGUUAUCUAGGAUGCUGGCAUAAUGG
RNAcentral lists this ribosomal RNA (628 nucleotides) under Nakaseomyces glabratus. RNAcentral describes it as "LSU rRNA". It matches the Rfam family "Eukaryotic large subunit ribosomal RNA", at positions 1 to 637 of the family's 3401-position model. The record is from RNAcentral. Lineage: Eukaryota; Fungi; Ascomycota; Saccharomycetes; Saccharomycetales; Saccharomycetaceae.